GAUGAAGAACGCAGCGAAAUGCGAUACUUGGUGUGAAUUGCAGAAUCCCGUGAACCAUCGAGUCUUUGAACGCAAGUUGCGCCCGAAGCCAUUAGGCCGAGGGCACGCCUGCCUGGGCGUCACACGUCGUUGCCCCCCCAUCUACUCCUUCGGGAUUGCGGGGGGCGGAUGAUGGCCUCUCGUGCGCCUCGUCGCGCGGUUGGCCUAAAUGCCAAGUCCUCGGCGACGCACGCCACGACAAUCGGUGGUUGCGAAACCUCGGUUGCCUGUCGUGUGCGGUCGUCGCGCAUCGAGGGCUCGAAAAAAUUGCCGGGCUUCGGCUCGACUUUCAACGCGACCCCAGGUCAGGCGGGGUUACCCGCUGAAUUUAAGCAUAUCAAUAAGCGGAGA
Molecule: unclassified non-coding RNA, 390 nt
Filed under: soil metagenome
Description: partial contains 5.8S ribosomal RNA, internal transcribed spacer 2, and large subunit ribosomal RNA
Rfam family: 5.8S ribosomal RNA (bases 1-122)
Source: RNAcentral